This 2454-nucleotide ribosomal RNA is filed under the name marine metagenome. RNAcentral's name for it is "bacterial LSU rRNA". It matches the Rfam family "Bacterial large subunit ribosomal RNA", at positions 1 to 2517 of the family's 2925-position model. The record is from RNAcentral.
AUAAGCUACUAAGGGCACGAGGUGAAUGCCUUGGUGCUAGGAGGCGAUGAAGGACGUGGUUACCUGCGAUAAGCCUUGGGAAGACGGAAGCAGUCAUUAUACCCAAGGAUUUCCGAAUGGGGAAACCCGGCUGGGCCUUAAACCCAGUCACACCCUGGUGAAUUCAUAGCCAGGGCCGUAAGGUUAAACGAGCGAUACCUGCUGAAGUGAAACAUCUCAGUAAGCAGAGGAAAAGAAAGCGAAUGCGAUUCCGUCAGUAGUGGCGAGCGAAAGCGGAACAGACCAAACCACCCAGCUUGCUGGUGUGGGGUUCGGGACACGAUAUGGAGAUCCAAUCCAAAGAUUAACACGUUGGAAAGCGUGGCCAAAGAAGGUGAUAGCCCUGUAUACGGCGGAGAGGUAAUCCUAGUGUUUCCAGAGUAGCACGGGAUAAGUGGAACCCUGUGUGAACACGCGCCAACCAUGGCGUAAGUCUAAAUACUACCUAGCAACCGAUAGUGAACUAGUACCGUGAGGGAAAGGCGAAAAGCACCCCGAAAGGGGAGUGAAAAGUACCUGAAACCACGUGCCUACAAGGUGUCGGAGCCAUCUUCGGAUGGUGACGGCGUGCCUUUUGCAUAAUGAGUCUGCGAGUUAUUGUUCGUGGCAAGCCUAAGGGCUUUUGGUCCGGAGGCGAAGCGAAAGCGAGUGUGACAAGCGCGAAUUAGUCGCGAGCAAUAGACCCGAAGCGGAGGUGAUCUAGCCAUGGCCAGGUUGAAGCUUAGGUAACACUAAGUGGAGGACCGAACCGGUGUACGUUGAAAAGUGCUCGGAUGAGCUGUGGCUGGGAGUGAAAGGCUAAUCAAACCCCGUGAUAGCUGGUUCUCUCCGAAAUAGCUUUAGGGCUAGCGUCAGGCAAGGAUUCGAGGGGUAGAGCACUGAAUGGCUUAGGGCCCAUACCAGGGUACCAAAACCAAUCAAACUCCGAAUACUCGAACUCCGUACUGGCAGUCAGACUAUGGGUGAUAACAUUCAUGGUCGAAAGGGAAACAACCCAGAUCGCCGGCUAAGGUGCCUAAACUGGAUUAAGUGGAAAGGAUGUGGAAUUGCACAGACAGUGAGGAUGUUGGCUUAGAAGCAGCCACCAUUUAAACAUAGCGUAACAGCUGACUCAUCGAGCGAUUCUGCGCCGAAAAUGAUUGGCGAUUAAAUCCAGUACCGAAGCCGCGAAUGCGUAUUACAUUCGUGUAAUAUGCGUGGUAGGAGAGCGUCGUCUAUGCGCUGAAGCUGAACUGUAAGGGACAGUGGAGCGUAGACGAGUGAGGAUGCAGACAUGAGUAGCGAUAAAACAGGUGAGAAUCCUGUUCGCCGUAAACCCAAGGUUUCCCAUAGCCACGUUCGUCGGCUUGGGGUUAGUCGGGUCCUAAGGUGAGGCCGUAAGGCGUAAUCGAUGGAUAUAAGGUUAAUAAUCCUAACCGGCAGGCAAUUAGUGUAUGAGUGCGCAGAGAUGAAAAAUGUAUACAUUACGUAAUGGAAAAGGCUUAGUCCACGAGGCGAAGCCAGCAUUGGAAGUUUCUGCCUAGAAAAGCUCAUUCACAUUCUAUGCCUGUCGCCCGUACCGUAAACCGCCACAGGUAGGAGGGUGUAAAUGUACCAAGGCGCGCGAGAGAAACCUCUUUAAGGAACUCUGCAAAUUAGCCCCGUAACUUCGGAAGAAGGGGUGCCAUCUUCGGAUGGCCACAGUAAAGGGUGACUGGCGACUGUUUACCAAAAACACAGCUCUCUGCUAAGAUGUUAAGUCUACGUAUAGGGAGUGACACGUGACCAAUGCCGAAAGAUCAAGGCUGUUCUGUUAACGCAGGGCACCUAAGUCCCGGUGAAUGUCGGCCGUAACUAUAACGGUCCUAAGGUAGCGAAAUUCCUUGUCGGGUAAGUUCCGACCUGCACGAAUCGUGUAACGACCGGUCAACUGUCUCAAAGAGGAUCUCGGCGAAGUUGUAAUGGCGGUGAAGAUGCCGCCUACCCGCGGUAGGACGGAAAGACCCUAUGCACCUUUACUGUAAGCUGGUAUUGGGUUCUGGACUGUGAUGUGUAGUAAUAGGUGGGAGACUUUGAGACGAGUUCGUCAGGAUUCGUGGAGUCGACAAAUGAAAAACCACCCUUUAUUUUCUAGGAUUCUAACCUCGAUUCCUGUUAGCCAGGCGAGGGACAGUGCUUGCGGGUCAGUUUGACUGGGGCGGUUUCCUCCCAAAAAGUAACGGAGGAGCGCGAAGGUACUCUCAGCAUGGUUAGAAACCAUGCGUCGAGCGUAUAGGUAGAAGAGUGCUUAACUGUAAGACCGACAGGUCGAGCAGGUACGAAAGUAGGCCUAAGUGAUCCGGCAGUAGAAAAUGGAAUUGCUGUCGCUCAUCGGACAAAAGGUACGCUAGGGAUAACAGGCUUAUCGCGCCCAAGAGUUCAUAUCGACGGCGCGGU